RNAcentral lists this ribosomal RNA (273 nucleotides) under uncultured bacterium. Its description in RNAcentral is "partial 16S ribosomal RNA". It matches the Rfam family "Bacterial small subunit ribosomal RNA", at positions 81 to 353 of the family's 1533-position model. The record is from RNAcentral.
AAGUUUGAUGGCGACCGGCGCACGGGUGAGUAACACGUAUCCAACCUACCCUUUACUCGGGGAUAGCCUUCGAAAGAAAGAUUAAUACCCGAUAGCAUAAUGAUUCCGCAUGGUUUCAUUAUUAAAGGAUUCCGGUAAAGGAUGGGGAUGCGUUCCAUUAGGUUGUUGGCGGGGUAACGGCCCACCAAGCCUUCGAUGGAUAGGGGUUCUGAGAGGAAGGUCCCCCCACAUUGGAACUGAGACACGGUCCAAACUCCUACGGGAGGCAGCAUG